Cucurbita moschata (crookneck pumpkin) is the source of this 3265-nucleotide RNA transcript. It is a transcript of the gene named AP2/ERF and B3 domain-containing transcription factor At1g50680-like, with no coding region annotated. The transcript is spliced from 6 exons. The record is from RefSeq and is a predicted model, not a curated record. NCBI's taxonomy places the organism in Eukaryota, Viridiplantae, Streptophyta, Magnoliopsida, Cucurbitales, Cucurbitaceae.
UCCGUUCGCUCGUAAAUUUUGCUCUGUACAUUUUUCAUUAUACUGUCCCUAGCGCCAUUCUUCCUUUCUCCCUCUAUCUUCACCGACGGUGGUGGUGGAGGGCUUCUCUCAUUGGUGGCUAUCCCAGACGCGUAUUUCAGAACAGAGAAAGAAAAGUGGUUAAGAUGUCAGAAUUGGUUUUACUUUUGAUGGCGUGUGAAAUGGGUAUAUAUCUAUGGAUUGUAAUAGCAAAACCCUAUUUCGCUUUCUCAUUGUUGGUUUCUGCUGCCGUUCAGAAUGGAAAGAAUUUGUUCUUUUACUUGGAUAUGGAAGGAUGCACAGAGGGUGUUCGAUGAAAUGUCUGAAAAAGGAAAUAAUUUCAUGUGGAGGGAUAAAAUGGUUGUUUCUUUGGUGGGUUUGUGGAUUCCAUAAAUGGGUGGGUUUUGAGGUCAUAGAUCUGACGAGUUAAGGGAAAUUGUUGGGUGAAGGAAUGAAUGAUGAUGGAAAUGGAAGGAGAUGGAGGGAGAGAGAGAGCAAAAGGGCAGGAGAGUGACAGAAGAGAGUGAGCACACGCUGCAGCCAAAUGUAUGAAGGGCAUACCUUUGCGGGUGCGUGCUCACUUCUCUUUCCGUCAGCUUCGCUUCCCCAUUAUUUUCCCUUCUGCUCUCUUCUUCUCUCUCUUCUCCUUUCCUGUUUUUCCUCCUCUGAUGGACCUCUGAUGGACUAAUGACACUGGCGAAGUUGAAGCGGCCUCUUCAAAGUUUCAAGCGGUGCCACUGCAGUCUACAAUUUCGCCUCCACACUCGUAAUUUGUCAGGUUGUUUUCAUCCAUUGCAAUAUUAUUGUUCUUGAAAUUCUCCAUACCCUUCUCUUUUCUUUUAUUGACAUUGAUUUCCAUGGAAACUUGGUAGCGCGACUUUUGAUGGUCCUCUCCUGCUUAUAUAUAUAUUGAAUUUUUGAGGUACAAACCGAUUACUAUUCAUAUUUAACGGAAAAUCCUUUGAAUAUCGUUGCUGUUUAGUGGAAAAAUCCGAUUACUGUACCCAGCUAAUCCAAAACUCCCGGCCAUGUUUUGGGGUUUCCUUGGUAUCGCCCACUCUUUGUUUAUUUUCAUUUAUUUUGGUUUCCUGAGAUUUGGGUUGUUCCAUAUCUGACCAAAUAUUUCUUUUGUUCCUGAGAAUAUUGGAACAUGGGAUAUAUUUUUUGUAAGCAUUAUUUUUUGUUGACGAAGAGUUCUGCAGAUUUUGUUUUGGUAUUUACUUUCCUAAAACGAAAAAUUUCUUUCCGUUGUGGGCUGUUACUUGUAGAAGGGUGUGAGACUGAAUCGACUUGAGUGCUGAAUAUGGCAACAGUCCCUCGUUUUGGAUGCCUGAAGGGCCUGAUGUUUUCGAGUCCCAGAUAUGGAGCUUCCAAACCGGAAAAUUUCCUCAUUCAGCACUUGUUUGACGCUGGGAGGCAACAGCCUGCUUAUUUUUCUCUUAUCUUCAGAUUAACCAUCACCCCCACCCCCACUGCCCGGGUAAGAGAACCACCAUGAAACAGGAGUUGUUAAGUAUGAUGUUAAAAGCCAGGACGAAUGCAAUUGGGGAAGAUUGCAUCACUCUCCCAUUCCCUGCCAGUGAAUGUAGUAGACAAGGAAAGAGUUUAACCUCAAAAUUCAAAGGUGUUGUGCUUCAGCAGAAUGGCCACUGGGGUGCUCAAAUUUAUGCUAAUCACCAUCGUAUUUGGCUCGGAACAUUCAAGUCGGAAGACGAGGCAGCCAUGGCUUAUGAUAGUGCAGCUAUCAGAAUCAGGAGUGGAGAUUGUCAUAGAAACUUUCCUUGGACCAAAUUCACAAUUGAAGAGCCUAACUUCCAGAAUCUUUACACUACAGAAGCUUUGCUUAGUAUGUUAAAAGACGGUUCUUACAGAACUAAAUUUGCUGAGUAUUUGAGGGAUUGUUUGGAAAGCGUACAAACAGCUAGUCCCUCUGCAGAAAAGCUACAUGACAAUGGACGGACAUCUAUUAAGCAACUUUUUCAAAAGGAGCUAACACCGAGCGAUGUUGGUAAGUUAAAUAGAUUGGUCAUCCCAAAGAAAUACGCUGUUAAAUACUUCCCUCAAAUACCAGCUAGCACGAUAGAUAACGUGAAACGUGUUGAUGAUGAUUGUGAUGUGCAGCUAGUAUUUUUUGACAAAAUGAUGAGACAAUGGAAAUUUCGAUACUGUUACUGGAAAAGCAGCCAGAGCUACGUUUUUACGCGAGGUUGGAAUCGGUUUGUGAAAGAAAAACAACUGAAAGCUAAUGACACAAUAGCUUUCUACUUGUGUGAAGCAGCAAAGGCAAGCGAUGCUAACACUACAUUCUGUGUGGUGGAUGUUAAAAACCGCAACAGCUAUAGCUUGACUGAGAAUGAAAUCACAAGCAGCGAAAUGCAGCUAGAUUUGAGUCGUGAAGAAGUUAAUGGACCGGUGUCGCCUAAGCAUGUCGACGAUGAACUAAAAGAUGAUCUUGAAGUCUCAGGCUUCAAACUGUUUGGAGUGCAUAUUAAGGGAAAGUUCGCGGGUCAAUGUUUUUCCCUGCCCCGAUCGGCAGCAACUGGGUUUCCCGGGCUGAUUUGAUUGGAUAGCCUGUUUAGUUCAAAAUUUGCAGGCAAUGAUUAUUCUUGGGUUGUAGCAAUUGAACAAGCAUUCAACAAGUUUCUGAUACCCUGUCAAAUUCAAAGAAUUCAUUUUAUGAAGCAGAAACUCCAAAAAGCAGCAUGGCUCCACUGGCUGCUUGCCUUAUUGGUAGGUGGACAAUAAAGAGACUUCAAGGGAGUGCUAAACGAAGUCUACGUUCAUGUUCAUGCCAAUUUGAACCAAACUCAACCGGUUAAGGUACAUAUUUUCAACCGAAAGGUCAAUUAUUCGAAAAAUCUUGUUGUUUCGAUUCUCGAGACUAAAGAAAACGACAAACUCCAUUUGGAAAGAGAAGAAGAGGAUAUGAGAUGACACUAGUGGUGGGUCCUUAGAAAAGUUAGAAAAAUGGGUAAUAUAAAUCCAAUGGAGGAGAGGAGGAUGGAGUGGCUGAUAAAGUGAGUUGGGAUUCCAAUGCCAAGAGAGAGAGAGAAGAGAUGUGCAGCCUCAAAUUCCCUCAAAAGGGCCGUUGGGUGAAUCCUUUGUGUGGCUGAUAAUAAUAAAUGUUGUGUUGAUUCUUUCAUAAAAUGCAGACAAUCAAGAGGAAAAGGCCAAACAACCCCAUGUGAACCCUCUUAGGCCCAAACCAUAUCCCUUCGAUUUUAAUUCUCCCAAAAUUCGAAUUUGA